RNAcentral lists this ribosomal RNA (497 nucleotides) under uncultured bacterium. RNAcentral describes it as "partial 16S ribosomal RNA". It matches the Rfam family "Bacterial small subunit ribosomal RNA", at positions 28 to 507 of the family's 1533-position model. The record is from RNAcentral.
GAUGAACGCUGGCGGCGUGCCUAAUACAUGCAAGUCGAGCGAACAGACGAGGCGCUUGCUCCUCUGACGUGAGCGGCGCACGGGUGUAUAACACGUGGAUACCCUCCCUAUAAGACUGGGAUAACUUCGGGAAACCGGAGCUAAUACCGGAUAAUAUCUUGAACCGCAUGGUUCAAUAGUGAAAGACGGUUUUGCUGUCACUUAUAGAUGGAUCCCGGCCGCAUUAGCUGGUUGGUACGUUCACGGCUUACCAAGGCGACGAUGCGUGACCGAACGGAGAGGGUGAUAGGCCACCUGGGAACGUGGACGCGGACAAGACGCCUACGGGAGGCAGCAGUAGGGAAUCUGACGCAAUGGUCGAAAGCAUUACGGAGCAACGCCGAGUGAGUUAUGAAGGUGCUCGGAGCGUAAUACUCUGUUAUUAGGGAAGAACAAAUGUGUAAGUAACUAUGCACGUCGUGACGGUACUUAAUCAGAAAGCCACGGCUAACUACGUG